GGGUGAUUAGCUCAGCUGGGAGAGCACCUCCCUUACAAGGAGGGGGUCGGCGGUUAACAGGUCGAUCCGCGCAAAGCCGCCGUCGAAGCCGCUAUUGCCCG
This 101-nucleotide transfer RNA is filed under the name Escherichia coli. RNAcentral's name for it is "tRNA-Val". It matches the Rfam family "tRNA". From Rfam's summary of the family: Transfer RNA (tRNA) molecules are approximately 80 nucleotides in length. Their secondary structure includes four short double-helical elements and three loops (D, anti-codon, and T loops). The record is from RNAcentral. Lineage: Bacteria; Pseudomonadati; Pseudomonadota; Gammaproteobacteria; Enterobacterales; Enterobacteriaceae.